UAAACUAAACCCUAUCACCUAAUCACUAAACUCUACACGUAAAUAUAAAUCCUAAUCCAAUGUCAAUCCCAAUUUUCCAAAAAUUAAAUCCAAAUUUUGAAAUGUAAGUAAGAUGCACUACCAUUCUACAAUGAGGCAUAUAGAAUAGAAAAUGUGAAAUGUAGUUGCAAUCUAAAGAUCAUCUUAACAUAUUUCUCAAAUGUUGAUAUGACUAUGCCUUCAUGGAAGGUGGUAACGUUUGCCCAAUGUCAACCUCAAUCGUACAUAAACUAAACUCUAUCAAUUAAUCACUAAACCCUACACGGAAAUAUAAACUCUAAUCCAAUGUCAAUCCCAAUUUUUCAUAAACUAAACCCUAACCACUAAUUAAUAAACCCUACAUGGAAAUAUAAACAUUAAUCCAAUGUCAACCCCAAUCUUUCAU
RNAcentral lists this long non-coding RNA (424 nucleotides) under Brassica napus (rape). RNAcentral's name for it is "long non-coding RNA (BNAP_LNC013510)". The record is from RNAcentral. Lineage: Eukaryota; Viridiplantae; Streptophyta; Magnoliopsida; Brassicales; Brassicaceae.